Long non-coding RNA from Gavialis gangeticus (Gharial), 2307 nucleotides. RefSeq lists it as uncharacterized. Lineage: Eukaryota; Metazoa; Chordata; Crocodylia; Gavialidae. The record is from RefSeq and is a predicted model, not a curated record. The transcript is spliced from 2 exons.
ACAAGCACCGGUGAGGGACUUCUAUCAAUAAACACAGAGGAAAACCAAAUGCAAGAAAUUGGGAAGUGGGUGGCUGAGCACUGAAAUUCUUUCUGCUCCAGUGAUAUCAACAAGUGUAAAAGAAAGUCAAAUGCUAAUUUGAUGCUUUUGCGCUCCAAACUACCAGGAAAAAGAAUGACUUUGGAUUUCUUUUAUUGCAGUUUUCAAGAUGGAGUUACUAGUAAGAACUAUGCGAGAGGUAGGGGGAUUUUUGUUGGCGGGGAGCGAUCGCUUUUAUUGGAGCAACUGCAGGAAGGGAACCUUGUGUCCACAAGUAUGCUUACAAACUCUCCCAGCUAUGCAGUUGAUCCAAUAAGAGUUCACCCCCCCCAAAAUCCUUCCCUCACAUAUUUGCUGGACCAUCACAGCUACACCAUCCCUCCCAACACUAGAAACAGCUAUCAGGUUUGUGUGGACUAUUCUUAGGCUCCAAAAUCUUCCUCCAAAAGGCUGGUAAUAACCCCAAAUGCUGCAUUAGCAAGAAGCUGCAGAUUUUAUUGUCACAUAACAGCUUCAAAGUAGUUAUAUUGCUGUGAUUCUCCCAUUGCAAUUCUCUAUGGCAGAUGUCAAAACCAAAAUAACAUGUCAACUUAUAUUGGGAAAACUUGAAGCUAGCAUUCGUUCAUACCCAGGUAAACUAAAAAACUUAAAGAAAUAAAUUGAAGGCGGAGAAGGGUCUGAGUAUACUGAUCACCAGACAGCAUGGAGACAGCUUAUCUCUUUGAUCAAAAGAUACUGGUUUUAAAUCACAGGUAAACAGCCCUCUGAAAUGUCUGAGACUAAAGUGCAAUCACCAACAAAGUAUUUGUUUUACCCAAAAAGUGAAGGUGUGGGGUUAGUGCCUUUUAACGAGGUUACCAAGUCACCAUGCUAGAUUAUAAAGUGUUUAUCCCACACACUAACCAGUUACCACAUAGUGUAUUAAAUAAUUUAAAAAAAACAGUGAAGCUAUGUAACCACCUCUUAUAGGUGUGUCUGCUAUGUAGGGGAGUGGUUUUGCUGGCUAUUUAUUUAGCCCAGUUAUUCAGUUGCUUAAGUUAACAUGCAAAUACUCAGGAUAUUCCCUAAACUAUGAUUCUUAGAAAAGCUGAAUGUGGGGAGAGGCAAAAAAUCCCCCAUUUCUUGUCUGGGUUUUCAGAAAUGGAGCAGAAUUUUUAUAAAGCUUCCUAUUUGUUAGGGCACGUUCACUUUGUUCCACAAAGGGUCCCUCCCUUCUACACAGGGUUUUUUUUGGAAAUGUGAUUGUUGCUAGUAAUACAGAACAAUGGAUGAAAGAAAUUAAAGACUAAGUCCGAUUUUAAAGAAAAUACUUUUCUUCUUGUUAAACUAGCCUUUUAUUUUUGCACCUACAGCACAGUUGGAAGCCUCUAUCUUUUUGUGGACUGCAUAUAAAGAAAUAUGUUCCUUUGACUUUACUAUUUGGACAUGGGAAUGAUGUGUUUGUUGAUCUGAUUAUAAGGAGAGACUCUUUUAUUUGUUAUUUCAGAACCCGACUUGGCUUUUAUUUAGCUUCUGUUUGCACUCCUUUCUCAGCUGUGUGAAGGGAACCCGACGCUCUUCUAGGGAGUCUUCAAAGAGAAGCUGACAAAAUCAUGGUGGAAAACCUAUUUCACCAUAAUUUGGCUAGUUAAUUUUCUAAUAUAUAUAUAUGAGGAAGAUUUUUUUGCUGGCAAAAAUCCUCUAUGGCAACAGAACCUUCCAUUCUGCCCCCUCUGCUAAGAGAAAGAAGAUGGAUCUGGCAGCUGAUCCCUUGAGAAGCUAGUGCCUUCCAAGGGUGCAAGUCAUGUCCUGCCAGUAAAACGUCCAUAAGUGUUCAUAAGUGUACAGGGACUUGUACCAUGGUGAUGGUAGCUCCUGUCUGCCACCAGAACUUCUGACAGAAGAGGUGGGUCAGUAUAUACAAGGCCAGAGACAAGACCCGGAAAAGAAGAGCAUUUGUCACUUUUGUAUAGCUACAGCAAGUUUAAUGAGAUGAAAUACCUUAAAACAGACAUCAUUUAGACACCUUCAUCUUGACUGUCUAAAACAAGAAUUGCAUUAUUUUAACUAGUGUGGGUACGGAGGUACUAAUAAUAUCACUUCUUCACACAUGCAAAGGACAAUCGGUUACAUGGGUAUAAACACCUUCCUAAAUCACUACAACUGCACUUAUAUUAAGGCUGUACUGAUGUCAGAAUCACACUUCUAGCCUAUCCGGAUACCCAAAUGGUACGUCUGUCUGUGUUACGCAUUCAAAUUAAACUAACUGAGAGUAAUACUUUUCAGCUG